RNAcentral lists this unclassified non-coding RNA (6830 nucleotides) under Leishmania donovani. Its description in RNAcentral is "gene:LdHU3.32.1790(CDS-product:RNA_guanylyltransf erase_putative)". Lineage: Eukaryota; Euglenozoa; Kinetoplastea; Trypanosomatida; Trypanosomatidae. The record is from RNAcentral.
CGGCGUACUGCCCUCAAUAUCUUAUUGUUGUUGUUUUGUUGGUUUCUCUCUCCGUGGGUGCAUCUUGGUCACAGAUCGUUGUGAGAGUGCGUCCGAGUGCCCGUGUAAUCUUCGCGAGCGCACGUAAGUUGGCUCUCUCUCACCCUCCUUUUUUUUUCGACUGGUGCUCAUUGCUGUUCUCUGUACGUCGCAUACAGCACAGAACACGCUGUGCGGAGGUGGUACAAGGUAGUGAGAACAAGCGCGCAUCCACGUGCGUGUUCGUGUGUGCGAAGGUGGCGCGUUUGCUCACCAUCGACACCGAAGCGGAGGACGCCAUCUGCGAAUGAGAGAAAGGGAGAAGGGCAGAUAAGGUUGAACAUAAACAGAUAGACAUACACUUUUUUGUUUCAAAAGAAGCCCUCGCUGCUCUGUGGUAGCGGAGGAGGCGAGCCACGUUGCUCCAAACGCGCACGGACACACGCUUCGGGAGAUAUUUCCACAGACAACACACCGACCAAAGAAGCAAGAAGGGUACGACGCGGCAUACGCUUGUGCGUACGUGGCUGGCACAGCGAUCUGCACAGCCUCGCCUCCCAUCGGCGUUCUCUUUUCUUGCUGUUUUUUCUUCUCUUGUUUUCAUUCGUCACGUGCCCGUCUUCUUUUCAUUUUUUUUCCUGUGUGUGUGUGUGUGUGUGUGCGUGUGUGUGUGUGUCUUUAUUAUCCGUUGCUGUUACCACAAACUGAAGCACGAAGAAGCACUUGUGCGCCGGCGCGCUCAUUGUUCUACUGUUGUUUAUCUUCCUACCUCUGACGCUACCCCUCACUCCCGCCUCUCGCCUGCGUGCCUACGAUCCUCUGGCGCGUCUACGCCUAACGCGCUGCUUGGGUGCUAACCCUGUCACACUUGAGGCGUCGGUCUCUCAGUCGCCUCUCGCUGCCGUUUGUUGUUGUGACCGUCGAAAAAGAGUGGGUUUGUCGGCUAGCGUUUGUUACUGGAACUCUCCAUUUGUGCAUGCACGUCGGACAUACACGCCAGACUUGCAGAAUUGUUGUGGGUGGGGCACUGUCGGUGUGAGAAAAGAAGUGUGUCUUUCGCGGUAUCGACCUCGUCCGUGUGUGACACAGAUUCGGAACAGUGCGUUGAAUAGAAGUGCCGUCAGGAGCUCAUCGAGGGAGCUCUCGCCGUUGUCAGACUUCGUCGUACUGCGCGCACACGAAACCCGCCAAGCGUGGAACACGAGUGGAAACGCUGGGGCAAGCCGACUCACACUACCGCAGCUGCCUCCCCUCUCCCUUCUUCUCGGGUCCUGGUGUUUUUUGCUGGGCGUCGUCUUCUCCCUCUGUCCCCUCCUCUCCUCCACUCAUUGUACAGCGGCUUCUCCUGCUCUUCUUUUUUUCGCGUCCAAGGGCUGCCCAUCAAGGUCUUCUCGUACCGUCUCGCCACACCGCAGCGCCUCCUCGCUCCCAGCUCGUCAGGAGGAGCCGGAAAGAGAAUUCAUCUUACUCUUUUCCCUCGUCUUUUUGUGUGCGCUACUUUUCUUUUGCGGCGCUGGUGACUGUGCCCGUGUGCGUGUGUGUGUGUGUGUGCGUGUGUGUGCUUGAUUGCUGGGCGGGAACAUAACCUGUUCAUUUGAGCUCACCGCGCACACCCACACCAACACUCGCCCACCGGCUCAGCACCAGCACCCGCACACGCGCUCUCUGUCCAUCAUAGCCUGCACACAAACGCCGUGUGGCGUCCCUGGUUGCUCGACGAACGUCGCAAGUGUACCUAAGUGAAUCCAGACGCACAGACAGAAGAAGACGGACGCUGCCUUUUCCGUUUCGGACUCUCCCCUACUUCGGCGACUAAAGCGUUCUCGUGAGCCCUCCUUCGUUGUCUCUCUGUACUCCGCUUGUUUUCUUUUUUUUUUUUCGAUUCCUCGGCUCUCUCUCUCCCCUCCCCAUUACAACCUCACUCAUAACCACCACGACCACCAUAACGACCGCGGCCAUUUCGCUUUGAAUCCGCUUCUCCUCCCGUUUCGUCUCUUUUUCGUCGUUGUUGUCACUCGCUCGACUCUCGCCCGCCCUGCACGCCAUUCGCUGUUUCGCUCUCCGUUUUUUUGUGGUUUGCUUGUUUGUGUGGUGCUUGCCCUUUGCCUUCUCUGCUGUGAGGGUGGCAGGAUGAGCCUCAACCCCAACGCUCCAUCGUUUGACCCGACGGCGAAGCCGUUCAUUCCGUCCUUUCUGUGCAGCGACCCGGAACAGUUUGUGCCACCGGUGUACCACCCCACCCCGCAGUUCAACCCGCAGCUGCGGAGCCUCGCCGGGGCCGGCGCUGUCAGUAACGACGAUGUCCCGCUCCUCUCUGGUUUUAAGCGAACUAGCAAGCCGGUGACUACCGCGCCGGCACCGUCGCCCGAAAACUACGAGACGCCAAACAGUAUCGCCGCUGCAGGCGCCAAAAAGUCCCCCACCGGCUUACCCGGCCAGGCAACAGGGGGCAGCGGGGGGCCGCCGAUGAUGUGGCGGUCUCCGUCGCCGAUGCACAGGGCGGCAGAGGCCUUUCCUACUCGGCCCAUGAUGAACCCCAACGCGGCCGUGCCGUCAGCUGCCUCGAUGGCCGUCGGUGCCGUACAGGGUGGGAGCCGUGUGAACACGGCUGCGAGCCUCUCCAGUGGGAUGGGGGCUGACGGGUCCUCGGAACGGCUUGACGGAGAUCAGCCGCCGAUUCUCGGGUGGUCUUCCUCCUCCAUCCGCCGCCCUCCAUCAACGGGCCCGUCAGGGUCCCCGCUGUCGCAGCAGCAGCAGCAGCAGCUGCAGAACGCCGGCGCUCGAUACACCGCGCCGCAGCCGCCGCCGCUGUCUCAGUCACUUCCUUCGGCAAUACCACGUUCGCAGGACCGCAGUGGACAGCAGCUGAGCGGCGCUCCCUUUUUUUCAUCGUAUGGUGUCUACCCUCAUUCCGUUCCGGGCGGCAACGCCCCGCAACUGCACUCCCCAGCCCAAGGAGCACCUCCCUCGCAACGCCCACUUCCGCAACACCAGCAGCCGUCGUUUCCACAAAAGGUUGCACCUGUGUUACCCCGGAGUGCCCAGGAGCGACAGGCGGCAGCGGCGGCGGCGGCAGCGGCAGCGGCGGCGGCCAACGAAGGGAGUCGAGGUGCAUCCCCGAACAGUCUCAGUGCCAGUGAGGCGGGCAACGGUGCACCAGUUCGCAUCGCCGCCCAAGAGCAGCGUGGCCCAUCUCCGCCCAUGUUGCCUGAGCCGCGCUCCGAGACUGUGUCUCAGCAGCACCAACAGCAACAGCAGCAAGGACAGUCUGUGGCGGACUCUACCACUCCCGGUCCCCGCCAAGCGACAGCCAACCCUCCCGUUUCGGCGCUGGUACCCCCUCGAAUCGCCUCGGCCCCAAUGGCACGCGCCAUCCGCGUCGGCGCGGCAGGCGGCAGCGCAGCAUAUUCGACCGCAGUCGCAGCCACCACGGCAUCACCGUAUUCAGGACCCACCCGAGGAAUGCUGUCAUCGAACCAUGUCGGUGCAGUAUCGCACCUGCCGCGUGCACCGCCGACUGCCGCAGCGAACCAGGGUGCGACACCCAUUCCAAGCGCAGGCAGCUCGAGCGGCAGCCCAGCACCGCCGACGGCGCCGCAGCCGCACGUGUCGCCGGCGCCGCAGUCUGUGAGUACGGCAAAACCCCUGAGCGGACCGGCACCUUCGACGCUGACGACGACGACGCCAGCACCACGCCCUGCCCCGGCCACUAGCGUAGCAGCGCUCAGCGGGUGGCGACCCCCGCAGUUUGGCCGCAAGGCCGCCCCGACGAACAGCGACCCGCUGAUCGUUAUGAUCUUUGGCUGCCGUGGGUCCGGGAAGACGACUCAGGCUGAGAACAUUGCCGAGCGCUACCACUUGCUGCACCUCUCCUCGGGGGAUAUGUACAAGGAAGGCAAGCAACCCUUCGCGGAGGUGGAGCAGGCCGUGAAGGACAACUUCGGUCCUGAUGCAAAGGACCGCUCUUACAACGGCCUCGUUCUCGAUCGCUUCGUCGCGACAGGGGAGAUGGACGCCUACUAUCUGCAAGCCGCGCUCAACGUGUGUCAGCUGCCGGUCCCUCUUGUCUUUUGGUUGCAAGUGGACCCCAAGGAAGGCUUGAGGCGCGCCCAGUCCCGCGGCGAUCAAAAGGCCGGAUCGGACCACUGGCGCUAUGUGGAGCAGCGGGCCCAAGCGGAAAUAGCAGAUCGCGUGUACAAGAAGAUUGGUGUCCUGCACGUCAUUGACUGCAACGCGCUGGAAGCGCGUCGGGUCGGAGACCGUAUUUACAGCAUCAUUGACGGCCUCUUCCCGAAGCGCAGCCGGAACAUUCGCCUCCCGCCCGCCACGCCGGUCGCCGGCUACGACAAGUUCCAGCUUUUGGACGAUUACAGCGAUUUCCAGCAGCUUACCAAGGAGGUGCACGCAGCGAUCGGCAACACGUCUGGCCGCACGGACAGCGCCCCGCUCUCUAGCAUUGGCGGAUACGUCGACGCCGGCUCGUUUGCGAACCGGCAGGAGUGCAAGCGGAUGUCUUCCAUGUACGUCACGUUGAAGGUGGAUGGGCAGCGCUAUCUGGUCGUGAAGCACUCGCACUUUGGCGUACUGGGUUUUCCGUUUGCCUUCACUGGCUGCUACGAUUUCAACGUUCUCUUCGAUCCGCUAAUGUUUGCGAACGCGUUCGAAAUGGUCGGCGACAGGCAGGAAGAGGCGAACGGGAUCGAGUGGAUGCUCGAUGCGGAGAUGAGCACCAGCGCCGGCGAGUCGAGCCAGCCUCAGCCGCUGCUACACAUUAUCGACUACGUGUACUUUGGCGGCAAGCAGGCCAAGCGCACGCCGUUCUUCGAGCGCUACGAGCUCUUGCGGGAGUGGUUCCGGUUGAUGGUACAGAAUAGCGGCGAGGCCGGAGCCUACGCGGCUGUAGUGCUGAAACACUACGUCCCCAUCAACGAGCUGCCGAAGCUGCUGCCCCGCUUCGAGGAUGCGCCGUUCGCGGUGGAUGGGAUUGUCUUUCAGGGCAACACAAUUUACAAGUUUGGGCUAGACAAGUUCCUCUUGAAGUGGAAGCCGCUGCAGCUGUGCACGGCUGACUUUAGACUCAUGAACGGAGAGAAGACCGAAGAUGGGGUCACGGUUUUCGACCUCUACACAACUGAGAACGAACAGGAGGUCCCCUUUCCAGGGGCCGUUGGGGUCUUCACAGAGAUGCAGAUGCGCGCUUACCAGCUGCGCAACAGCGUGGUCGUGGAACUAGAACUGGCCGACGUUGUCGAAAGAGCGGGUCCCAACGGGCAGCCGGCGACGCAGUGGGUGUUCCACCGUCUGCGUGUCGACAAGCCGCGCCCCAACAAGACUUCUGUUGUCGAGAGCAUCGUGAAGCUGAAGCACCUCACAUACCAGGAGCUGAUCGAUCACUGCAGGGUGCUGCGUUUCAGUGGACCCAACGCCUCUUCGCCCUAGGAGCUUGCGCGGCACAGACGUAGAGAGCGAACAAUACAAAGGAGGGGGGGGUCGGCGACCUUGGCUUACCACACUGUCCCGAGCAUGUUGCGGCUGCUGCAUUUCUCGCUUGAACAGGUUCUCGUUUUUUUCUUUACCGAGGAUUGAGUAGACUGAGACACGUCCAGCCUGCUCUUUCCCAAGAGAUUGACUUGCGCGUCUGCGGCGUCUAUUCUCCGGCGACGAAGCGUCCUUUUUCCAUGGUCGUGAGGCUUACGGAAGCUCGGGUGUUCGUUGUCUUGGCUAAUUCGUCCGCAGGUUGAGUGUGCGGACUUGCGAGUGGUGGUCAUCGCUCGUCUCUCCUCUCUGCCUCGUGAAGAGCCGCAUUCCUUUCAGCGACGGGUUUGGUGCAGUUGCUGUAAUCAUGUUUCUCCUCCUCUGUGGCCCCUCUGUGGUCGCUGUUGUUUUCAUGUGGACAACGACUUCCUUUUGGGGGGGGAGGGGGUUGUUGGUGAUGGUAUGCAUCGGUGGUGGCGUACUGCCUUUUCCCUCAUUGGUUGGUUGGUCGGUACGCCGCCUUUUUUUUUGUAUUGUUCCACAGUUCCGAAGAGGCUUUUGCCGCGCGGCGUCGUCGCGCAUUUUUUGUGCGCGCUUGUGUGAGUUUGCUGUGGUGGUGGUGGUUGACCGUUCAUCCAGACUCGUAAUGUUUUUCCUUUGCGGCCUCCUUGUCAAGGAUAUCGUGUGUUUGCGUGCCACGCAUUCUGUUCGUGGUCUAUUUUUCUUUUUUUUCUGUGUGUGUGUGUGUGUAACGGUAUCUCUCGUGUUGUGCACUGCGCAUUACUGGUGCCCGGUCUUAAAUACGCGGUGGUAUGUGCCUGUGUGGGAUGUGCAGCCGUGCACUAGUUGCUCUUGCGGACCUGUAUGUGAUAAUGUGUGGAAAUGACAGGUGCGAAAGCGAGGAAGAGGUGGAAGGGUCAGCUGUGAAUGGAAAGAGCGAGGCAAGAGUUGCAGAGAAGAACAUGCGCUGCUUCGGCUGUUGAAAACGUCGAAUGCGUGCGGCUGGGGUGGUGGGCGGUUCAAUAACUGGAAUAAGGCGAAGAUCGCCACCUGGAGCUGUUACUUUGUCAGCAGGCCGUUUCUUGGCCGCCCCACCGCCCGUCUUCGUUGUCUCGAACCUCCUCGGUGGCCUCUUCUGACGCGUCCGCGAUGAAGAAAGAGAGGUAGCGAUGUGCAUAUAUGUGUAUACCUGUACAUGUAUAUGGAGCGUGUGUGCGCGCUACAUGGGGUGCGCGCCCCUCUCUCGCUCACUCGCCCUCUGGUGAAGUUGUGAACGCGCGCUCUCUCCUUGUCUUCGCUUCCUCACUUUCGCUUCAUGUAACAUCGACUGUCGCACC